This 307-nucleotide unclassified non-coding RNA is filed under the name Hevea brasiliensis (rubber tree). The record is from RNAcentral. Lineage: Eukaryota; Viridiplantae; Streptophyta; Magnoliopsida; Malpighiales; Euphorbiaceae.
GGAGUGGAUGCGCUCCGUCGCCAAGGAGUUCAACCUCGCCCAGACCGUCUUCCUAUCACGUGCUACCGCGGGAUCGCCGGACAACCACCAUCCUCGCUUCAAUCUCCGGUGGUUCACCCCCGUUGACGAGAUGGAGCUUGCUUCAGGAAUGGAAGUUGCUGAUAUACAACCAAACUUUAAUGAAAUACAACAGUCUGCUGGUAGAGGUAUCAUCGUUACAGGGCCAGCCCCAAGAGAUUCUGGUUUUGAUUUCUUCUCUCGUUUCUUCUGUCCAAAAUUAGGUGUCAAUGAGGAUCCGGUUUGUGGG